CUAUAAUGCAGUCGAGCGAUGGAUGUGAGAGCUUGCUCUCAAGAAGUUAGCGGCGGACGGGUGAGUAACACGUGGGUAACCUGCCCAUAAGACUGGGAUAACUCCGGGAAACCGGGGCUAAUACCGGAUAAUAUUUUGAACUGCAUGGUUCGAAAUUGAAAGGCGGCUUCGGCUGUCACUUAUGGAUGGACCCGCGUCGCAUUAGCUAGUUGGUGAGGUAACGGCUCACCAAGGCAACGAUGCGUAGCCGACCUGAGAGGGUGAUCGGCCACACUGGGACUGAGACACGGCCCAGACUCCUACGGGAGGCAGCAGUAGGGAAUCUUCCGCAAUGGACGAAAGUCUGACGGAGCAACGCCGCGUGAGUGAUGAAGGCUUUCGGGUCGUAAAACUCUGUUGUUAGGGAAGAACAAGUGCUAGUUGAAUAAGCUGGCACCUUGACGGUACCUAACCAGAAAGCCACGGCUAACUACGUGCCAGCAGCCGCGGUAAUACGUAGGUGGCAAGCGUUAUCCGGAAUUAUUGGGCGUAAAGCGCGCGCAGGUGGUUUCUUAAGUCUGAUGUGAAAGCCCACGGCUCAACCGUGGAGGGUCAUUGGAAACUGGGAGACUUGAGUGCAGAAGAGGAAAGUGGAAUUCCAUGUGUAGCGGUGAAAUGCGUAGAGAUAUGGAGGAACACCAGUGGUGAAGGCGACUUUCUGGUCUGUAACUGACACUGAGGCGCGAAAGCGUGGGGAGCAAACAGGAUUAGAUACUCUGGUAGUCCACGCCGUCAACGAUGAGUGCUAGUGUUAGAGGGUUUCCGCCCUUUAGUGCUGAAGUUAACGCAUUUAAGCACUCCCGCCUGGGGGAGUACGGCGCCAGGCUGAAACUCAAAGGAAUUUGACGGGCGGCCCCCACAA
RNAcentral lists this ribosomal RNA (901 nucleotides) under Bacillus sp. (in: firmicutes). Its description in RNAcentral is "bacterial SSU rRNA". It matches the Rfam family "Bacterial small subunit ribosomal RNA", at positions 51 to 928 of the family's 1533-position model. Lineage: Bacteria; Bacillati; Bacillota; Bacilli; Caryophanales; Bacillaceae. The record is from RNAcentral.